UAAGUGUAUACGGAUGUAAAUAACAUUGUCACUGCGUUAUUUUAAAUAAACCAUGGUGCAUACGCAACGCGGAUGUUAUUGUUUUGAGACUUUUAAGUUGCGGGAUUCACAGUUUUGUUAUUUACACUUACAGUUAACGAAUAUAUUCUUAUAUUAUAGUUAAGGAAUAUCGAAGAGUUCAUUGAUAGAUCAAGUGAAAAGUGGGAAAUUCAAAUGUUGUAAUUUUCAUUAUUUCGUACCUUGGAUUAUUCGAACUAAUAAUAAAUAAGGUACAACAUAGCAGUACAAACUAUAACAAAGGAGGACCGUGGCCCAGUGUGGGACUUCAUUUUUAAAGUUAAGGAGGUAAAUGUUGAAUGCAAGGCCGUAUGCAGGAAUGUUGGACUUGAAACACUGAGCUGGUAUCCUGGUGUGGAGAUUUUAACCUGGUAUUUGAUAAAAUUGGCAACAGCAGCAAUGACCACAGUGCUUUGACAACGGAUAAUGGCUUACUUGAGACCUCAGAGAAUGAGUGACAGUUGUAUGAAUAUGUGUGAAGUGUGGAGACCACCCCCGCUACCAUACAAAACUGGAGUGGAUUUGAAGGUUUUGAAGACAAUUUAUGCUGAUAAUCUGGCCUACAUCAAUUACACAAGUUGCUGCCCAGGAUAUAGAUAUAUUGAUGGUUCAGAUAUCAGUAGUACUACAGCAGCAACAUCAAUAUCAAGGGAAGUGACACAACCUGUUACUUUUAAGACGCAGGAAGCCUCAACAAUAUCAAGAGAAGUGACAUCAACUGUUACUGAGUUGUUUGAGUCUGAGCAAGCAUCAACAAUAUCAAGAGAAGUGACAUCAACUGUGUUUUUUAAGUCCGAGGAAGCAUCAACAAUAUCAAGAGAAGUGACAUCAACUGUGUUUUUUAAGUCCGAGGAAGCAUCAACAAUAUCAAGAGAAGUGACAUCAACUGUGUUUUUUAAGUCCGAGGAAGUUGCAAAUGCCGGCCUAGGAGCAGGAGUUAUUAUUGCCCUGAUCGUUGGUCUACUUAUACUGCUGGCGGCAAUCAUUGCAUUUGUUUUGUUUGUGAAAAAGAAAUACUACAACAACCGGCAAUCCAGCUGGGCACAUUGUUUCACAAAAUACACCACCAUCCACUGCUUAGACUACAAAGCUUGCAAAUGCUGGCCCAGAAUGAAUAAGCGUCCCAACCCAACUGAAACUGACAUCAAACAAAUAAAUAGUGAUGGGGCAAAUGGACAAAAGUGCAUUCCACCUGAAGAGAUUAAAAUAACAGUGCUUAAUGCAGAAGUUCACAGAAAUGGAAGAACAAGUAUGAGUGAAAAUGCAACAUCCUGUGGUAACAACCAGGUACAAGUAAUACCUAGCAGAAUUGUGUUUAAGGGAGCCAGUGAAAGUGGGGAAGUACAGUUUAGAGAGGAUAAUGCUAUUGAAAAUUGGGGAGAACAAGUUGAAGAUGAUACUGGUAGUGAAAGAGGGGAAGAAAAGCUUAUAGACGAUAUUGCUAUUGAAAAUGGGGGACAAAAGGUUAGAGAGGAUAGUGCUAGUAAAAAUGGGGGAGAAAAGGGUAGAGAGGAUACUGCAUGGAUGAAAAGAAAACAAUGUGAUAAACUUGAACAAAUGCUAACACCUGUUGAGAAUGUGGAAGCAGAUGAGAUUGAUGAAAUCCAAAAUAAAGGGCAUCACAAAUCUGCGAAUGAUAAUUGUUUAAGAACUCUACCUGACUUGAUUGCGUACAAUUUUCUGAACUCAAAUAAAAAAAAUGUAAACACUCCAUCAACUUCAAAUAUUCAUGAUGUUUUAAGACAUUCUCAAGGCGUCAAAUCAAAUGGUUUGCCCCCACUUGACAGUCAAUCUGUAAAACACAGAAUUUCAGAUUCACAAGUUAUUUCACCAAAAAAGAAAAAGGGCUUGUUUCGUAAGUCUGCACCUGAUCCUACAUGCUAAUGUGCAUUAUGAAUGCAUAAUUGACUUUUGUUUUAAUGAAACCAUCCAGCAAAAUUGACUUUCAAGUACUGUUGUAAUUAUGCUGUAUUGAUUUGUUUCUCAUCAGUUGUUAUUUAUCCAUUGAUGAAAACCUGUCUUGUUAUAAUCAAAAGACAUGGAUUUCACUUCUGUCUUGUUAUAUAUUUAUUUACUUAUUUCAUGUCCUUAUUGAUAAAUUGCCAUUGAUUUCAUACCUGUCAUGUUAUAUUGGUCUAUAUUUCAUAUAUAUACCUCUCCAUGGCCUCUUUUUUUCUCAGUAAGUUGUAAUAUGGUCUUAGGUGGUUGGGUAUAUAACGGUGCACUGGUGUGUUAUCUGUGAUUGUUUAUGUACAUACUGUAUGCUACCUUAUUAUUAGUUCACAUGAGCAGAACAUGCUCUUGGGGAGCCUCUUGUCCAUGAUGUGGGGCAUCAACAUUUGAAUUCAAUUAUCUUCUACUGGACAGUCUUAAAGAUAAUUUUUUUCACCAAACAUAGGAAUGAUCUUCAAAUGGCACUUUUUCAAUAAUAUUUAAAUCAUUAAGAUCUGCAGCACAAGUUUAUAGGUCACACAAUAUAUAAAUGCAUUUGAAUAAAGUAAAAUCUUUUUUUUAAAAUCUGUAAUUAUGAACAGAACCACAACCACAUUUGGUAAAUCAUUGCAUGGUUGAUGUGGACUUGGUGAACAAAUAACUUGAAAAAUUCUCUUAUACAGUAUGAGUCUAAGAUACACAGAAACCUUUGUUAUUUGUUUUGUUGUAUUAUUUCAUCUUUUCUUAAACCAUAUGUUACAUGUACAUCAUUUAUAAUAUACUUGAAACUUUUAAAGCAAGUUUCAUUUUGUACAUAUAUGUACCCGGUAAAUGCUGGCAACAUUGGCAUUUGAAAUUGAAGGUAGAUUGACACUUUGACAAUUGUAUUAACAUUUUCCAUAAUUAAGUUCAUGAAUGACACAGAUAUUAUUAAGCAUGUAUAAUGUGCUGAAUUUCAUUCUUCCAUUGAUGACACAUGUUAUAAUUUUAAUAUAUAUGACAAAAAUUCAGCACAUUAGAAAAAAAGACAUGCAAUAUCGCUUAUUACAUGAUUAAUUUACUUCAGUAUUGAAAUGUGCAAUUUUGUAGGCAUGCCUUGUAUUUAGAUGGGACAAUUUUAUGUUCCAUAAAUGAUAAGCUUUGUUUAUGUUUGUUCUUAGAAAUUAGUAAAUCUUAUAAUAUUGGUAUUUAUAUUUAGUGGCGAUAUUUAGCAGAAAUACCAUUCUAUACUGUGUGUUCCUUAAAUAGGGUAAGGGUUAGCAAUUUCAAUGCAAGCACUUACCCAUGGUGAUAGGUAAAUAUAUAUGAGUUGUUCUUCAAAACAUUCCUGUUUGCCUUAUGUAGAUAUGUGUAUGUGUUUCAAAGUUUAUGAAGUCCUUCCACACCUGAGGCUGCAUUAUGUGUGGACUUUGGAGCGUGCCCAAGACCUGCUACAUGUACCUAUGGAGCUUACUAGUCCCUGAACGUAGGGAUGAAUGAGAAUUACUGAUGCAAGUACCAGCUACUUAAGUAGUUACAAACAGAUUUUCCAAGAUUUUAAUGCCCCGAAGGAGGGCAUGUAGUGAUCAGACCGUCCGUCCGUCUGUCUGUCUGUCCUUCCGUCACACUUUGCGUUUAGGUUUCGCGUUUAGGUUUUGAAAAAUGCUUAUAACUUCUAUGGCGCUUCAGAUAGCAACUUGAUAUUUGGCAUGCAUGUGUAUCUCAUGGAGCUGCACAUUCUGAGUGGUGAAAGGUCCAGGUCAUCCUUUAAGGUCAAAGGUCAAAUAUAUGGCUUCAAAGCGGCGCAGAAGGGGGCAUUGUGUUUCUGACAAACACAUCUCUUGUUGUGGUCCUGUGUUUUGGGAGGUGGAGUAUACAGAGAAAGACUUCACCUGUCUAAAAAGGUGACCAGCAACCAAAUCCACAUGCUUUUUGAAACGUUGACUGAACCCAGGUUGCCUAGGUGAGGAGCACUUGUACAAACCACUGCUCUACAAGGCUACACGGAAGGCCCAUUAUGCCUGUUAAAGGACAACCUGUUCUUGUAUUACAUCAGAUUGACAUAUACCUGACUAAUCUUCCAUCAUUUAGUGCUUCUUAUAUUGUCAAACAAUUUACAUGUAUCAACAUUCAACAUGAUCACUAAUUGGAAAAUAGAUAGCUCUUAAUCGUUAAUUUGACAAAUGGCAGGUUCAUAUUCAAUGUAAUUACAGUCAUUUUACUCGAUGUGCUUUGUACAGUUUUAAACAUGCUUACUGCUUUUCAUCGGUGUGAUGAGUUAGACCUAUAGAAUUUAUCUUAUAUGAAAGUUAAUAUCUGUUUAUAAUAUACAGUUUUAUUUAAUCUCAAUUAAUGAUGCAUCACUUGGCUGUAAACUUAUUUAUAAGCUAUUACUAAAAAAAUCAUGUAAAUUGUAUAGAAGACUUCAUGUGUAGUUAAUAUAUGAUUUCCAAACAAUUAGUUUUUACCAAUGUCUUAAAUAUGUUCACUGCUUAAGGUGUAGAUUGUUUUGUUGGUAGUUGAAAAAGCAGAUAAAAUUUGGUAUACAAAACUUUAAUAUUGAUUUUAAUGUUUAAGUCAAAAGGGCAGCUAGGAUUUUUUUGUUAAAAAAUAACAUUUUUCAAAAUUAAGUUUAAAGUAUCGAGUUUUAAAAGAAAAUACAAAUAAAGAAAAACUUUGUUUUUAUUGUGUGUUAAUUACUGUUCUGUGGAUGUCAGGGUUGUCUAUGUUCCUUCUGCAGAAUGUCACGAUUACCUUGUAUAUGCUUAAUUUAUAGCUUGUGUUAUGAAUAAUUGCUUUGCAUUUAUACCCUUCAUGGUAAUCGGAAUGAGAUCAACUCUUAAGGGAUGGGGCUUAAUGCAUAACAUAUGGUGUUACAUUCCAUCCAUGAUUGAGCCUUAACCCUUUGCAUGCUGGGAAAUUUGUCGUCUGCUAAAAUGUCGUCUGCAGAAUUUCUAAAAUUAGCAUUUUCUUCGAUUUUUUUUCAAAGAACACUAUCAGAAUAGCAAACAGUUUGGAUCCUGAUGAGACGCCACGUUCUGUGGCGUCUCAUCUGGAUCCAAACUGUUUGCAAAGGACUUCAAAAUUCGGUUCCCGCACUGAAAGGAUUAACAUUUGUUGAGGUUUAUUUACACAUACUUGUCAUGUUGUCUAAUAUAAGAUUUUAAUGCCCCCCGGAUCGAAUGAUCGGGGAUAUAUUGUUUUUGGCCUGUCUGUCUGUAAUUGUAUGUGUGUGUGUCUGUCAUUGUAUGUGUGUGUCUGUCCAAAUACUUUAACCUUGGUCAUAACUUUUGCAAUAUUGAAGAUAACAUCUUGAUAUUUGGCAUGCAUGUGUAUCUCACGGAGCUGCACAUUUUGGGUGGUGACAGGUCAAGGUUAAAGGUCAUUUAUUUCUAAAAUAGCUGCCAUGCGGCUUAAAAGCACUGUAUGGGGCAUUGUGUUUCACAAACACAGCUCUUGUUUUAGUGGGGUUUUUUGUCUUGAAUAACAUGUUCUUCCCUUAUAAAUCAUUAUUCAAUAUAUAAGUUGGAUUUGUUGAGUUGUUCACUCUGAACUUAACAUGUAAAUUAUGUAAUUGUAAAGUUAAUUUCUCAAUUCAUAACUAUAAACAAUUGUCGUAAUUGUCUUUUGAAUACAUGAAAUUACAUGUUCUGUUGAUUGAUAUUCUAAGGAGAAACAUGUUUCAAACAUAUUUUUAUGUUGUGGAUGUGCUCUGUUUAUUGAAUAAUGAAAAUUGACUUUUAAAGGGAUCUUUUCACGUUUUGGUAAAUUGACAAAAUUGAAAAAAGUUGUUUCAGAUUCGCAAAUUUUCGUUUAAGUUAUGAUAUUUGUGAGGAAACAGUAUUACUGAACAUUUACCAUGGUCUAAUAUAGCCAUUAUAUGCAUCUUUUGACGAUUUUAAAAACUAGAAAUUAUAAAGCGUUGCAACGCGAACAAUUGAAUAAUUGGAGUGUUCUGUUGUUGUCGUUAAAUUUUGUGACACUACGAAGAUUGCUUUUAUAAGGUAUAAAAUACGUCUCUCAUGUAUACUCGGCACAAUAGCCGAGAGGGUAAAAGCGUUUUUACUUCAGGACCUCGGCAAGACUCCAGGGGUCACUGGUUCGAAACCUGCACCAGGCAAAGUUUUUCUCCUUUUUUUAAUUUUAUUCUUUAUUUUUUACUGCAGCUUUUACGAUCAAAUGUUUACAUUUAUCAAUAGAAAGCAUUUAAUGAAUAACUUCAGAACAUGCCAAAAUCUGUGAAAAGGCCCCUUUAAAAGUUUUACUCAACCAUAUAUAAUUGCCAGUUUGUCCUUCCGCACUAUCCGUACGAACUAAAUUCUUGUCCUGAGCAAAACUCUAAAACUACUGAAGGAAUUUACUUGAAACUUGAAAUAUAAACAGAUGGCAACUAGGAGAAGUGCAGUGACCAAGAACCAUUACUCUAUCUACCUUAGUUUAUUUAAAUUAUCUUCCCUUUUAUAUAAUUUAAAAGUGAAUUUUUGUCCAGAGCACAUCUCUAAAUCUACUAAAGGGAUUUACUUGAAACUUGAAAUAUAGACAGAUGGCAAGUAGGAGAAGUGCAGUGACUAAGAACCAUAACUCUUUCUACCUAAAGUCACUUGGGUCAAGGUCACCAAAGCUAAUAAUAGAUUUUCCUUCACACUUUUGUUACAGUUUCUCAUAGCGCCUUCAAUACUUUACCGAUCUCUUUCAUAUUUGGCAUAUAGGUACCUUGCAUGGACCUCUACCUUUUGAUGAUGUUUGAGGUCACUGGGGUCAACGUCACCAAGGCUAAUAAUACAUUUUUCCGUCACACUUUUGUUACAGUUUCUCAUAGCACCUUCAAUACUUUACUGAUCUCUUUCAUAUUUGGCAUUUUGGUACCUUGCAUGGACCUCUACCUUUUGAUGACGUUUGAAGUUACUGGGGUCAAGGUCAAGGUCACUAAAGCUAAUAAUAGAUUUUCCUUCACUUUUUUGUUAGUUUCUCAUAGCGCAUUCAAUAUUUGACCGAUCUCUUAUAUAUUUGGCAUGUAGGUACCUUGCAUGGACCUCUACCUUUUGAUGAGGUUUGAGGUCACUGGGGUCAAGGUCACUGAGGCUUAUAUUAGAUUUUCUCAAGGUCUCACUUUUUUCCACACAAUUAACCCAUAUAUGGACAAAGCAUCAUUGGGGAGCAUCCAUAAGUUUUACUGAUAUCCUUGUUUAAAGAGGUAAAGAUUCGGCAUGGCAGUGUGCAGAAGGGUUAUGCCAUACUUUGAUAACUUAACUGUGACCCAUCUAAAUUAAACUUGGGAUGUUUCAUAUAGACUUAUACAGAUAAUGUUGGUCUAGGUUACUGGUUUCUUAAAUAUAGUUAAACAGUUUCCAGGUAUUAAUUUGACUUAUGAAGGAGAUAUUGAACUGAAAUGUUUUGAGUAGGUAGCUUGCACAAGGACCUAGCUUUGAAAUUUAUUUUUUGCUAAAGUUCAAUUUAAUAAAAGUAGAAAAAUAUUGCAAACUGGUGGUUUCCUGUCAAAAACUUAAAAUUGCAUUGAAAAUCUUUAUGAUUUUUAUGCAUGUAGCAGGCUUCUUAUGCAUUGAAAAAUUGUUAUGUUAUGUGUUCAUGUUUCUUGUGUUCAAAUAUUACAAUGUGUUCAUGUUUCUUUUGUUCAAAUAUUACACACCUAUGUUGUUUUGUUUUCAGCAUUUCACUUUUGGUGCAAAUGAAAUGCAUUGGUGCCAGUAUAUUGUAAAUAACUUUGUGUACAACUCAACAAGCAUGUGCCAUGUGAAAUGUCUGAAAAUUUGUCAACGCAUUGUAAAGUUGUUUCUGUUACAAUUUUCUCCACUUCAUUAUACUGUUAUAAAGCAAAAAAAAAAAAGACUUUGCUUGUAAUAUGUUUUUAACACUUCACAUGAAAACCUUACUGGAAUGGUAAAUGAAUGAUUCUCUCGAACUUAUCUACACAGCUCUUAAAAAACUUAUUGUCAUUGAGGAAUUCAAGUAAGGUUCCUUGUGAAGUCAUCAAGAUGAUGACGCUACAUUGUAAAUGUCAGCAUUAUCUGUUGCAUGAUUUCCUAGCAGAAACAAGACGUACACAAAAUGUGUGUGUGCAUUGCAAUGAUUAUUUGAAAAUCAAAUAAGGCUUUAAAACGUUUGUUGAUUUCACAGGGAAAGUCUUUAAUAUUUACACAUGCACGAUUUUGUAAGAAAUAAUGGAUAUUUGGUAUGAACGGAAAUAACUUUAAGCGUUUUAAUAAUAUUACAAUAUACAAAAUUAAGAUAGAUUUUUCCGCUUCCGGUCGUAUCAAAACACAAAAUAAGAUGAAGUAAAAUUUUUAUUUUUUUAGUGAUCUGAGUCAUAUUUUAUGGUGAAAUUGUGUGGAUAAAUGUGUAGGAUAAAGAGCAAAACGCAAGUAUGACAAUUAAGAAAACUACAUCAUAAAGACAUUAGUAGUUUGUUUGAAACUUUUUCUUCUACCGGUAUAAUGCGGCAGGUGGGGUAUCGAAUUUAUUUAACAAAAUUUAGAUUGGAAAACUGGUGUAGUACCUACCUACCAGUUUACAGUUAGUUCGUCACGCAUGACUGAACAGUUUAAUUGUCGAAUUACCUACCAAACAACAGUGUGACAAGCAAUUGAAAUUCAGUAAAUAGGUACAAAACGACAGAAGAUCAGUCGAGGGUGACCGAGCC
This is an RNA transcript of Dreissena polymorpha, 8626 nucleotides long. RefSeq lists it as uncharacterized. The record is from RefSeq and is a predicted model, not a curated record. Lineage: Eukaryota; Metazoa; Mollusca; Bivalvia; Myida; Dreissenidae. The transcript has 12 exons.